Molecule: long non-coding RNA, 703 nt
Organism: Oreochromis aureus
Lineage: Eukaryota; Metazoa; Chordata; Actinopteri; Cichliformes; Cichlidae
Source: Ensembl
CUAGCACAACACCUGGAGCUGAGGGGACAAAACAAUGGCAUGAGUGCUGCUGUUUGACUGAGGAAGAAUAAAGUAGUCGUGAGUCCAGAAAGCGCUGAGCAGACAUUUCUCCACACUUGUGUGGUGCCUGGACCUUGCAUGCUUCAGUUGGACCAGCUGCACCUCUUCAGCUUCAUUACCAUCUCAGAUCAACACAGCCCUUCCCUCCAGCACUAUCAGCAGCAGCAGGAGCAACCUCUCAACAGCAACAUUGUACCCCAUGAAGGAAAACAUAGGCUAUGUUUGCUUUGCAUUGUCCCCACCUGAUGACAGUGAUAUAGUAUUAUGCGAUUCCACAUUAGAUUCGUGAUGAAUGCAGGUUGUUGUUAUUCAGCCUGAUUCUAUGUGCCCCUUUUUAACUUUGAGCACCCGUCCCUUCAAACAUGUCUGCACGACCCUGUCAUCUCCAUACUUUGGUCUUCCACAGUAACUGCAAUGCUAUGUCCCAUCAACCAGAGGUUUAAUCCUGGGACUUACACACCAUGCCACCAGCUAUGCACUGCUGCAGAUGGAUGACAUCCAGAAGCUAAUUGUGGCCAUGAUAAACCAGCAUGGAAACAAUCAGUGGCUUAUGUGGAUACAGAGGAACUGCAGACUUACGAAGGGAUGCUCAUCUGAAGUUCUUUCAAAAGAAUAUGUCAUUUAAAGGAAAAAAAUACUACUA